GUAACACCUUGCUGCUUCGCUGACAAAUGGCGGACGGGUGAGUAAUGUCUGGGAAACUGCCUGAUGGAGGGGGAUAACUACUUAAAACGGUAACUAAUACCGCAUAACGUCACAAGACCAAAGAGGGGGAGCUUCGGGCCUCUUGCCAUCUUAUGUGCCCAGAUGGGAUUAGCUACUAGGUGGGGUAACGGCUCACCUAGGCGACGAUCCCUACCUGGUCUGAAAGGAUGACCAGCCACACUGGAACUGAGACCCGGUCCAGACUCCUACGGGAGGCAACAGUGGGGAAUAUUGCACAAUGGGCGCAACCCUGAUGCAGCCAUGCCGCGUGUAUGAAGAAGGCCUUCGGGUUGUAAAGUACUUUCAGCGGGGAGGAAGGUUAAAGUUAAUACCUUUGCUCAUUGACGUUACCCGCAGAAGAAGCACCGGCUAACUCCGUG
RNAcentral lists this ribosomal RNA (440 nucleotides) under bacterium. RNAcentral's name for it is "bacterial SSU rRNA". It matches the Rfam family "Bacterial small subunit ribosomal RNA", at positions 75 to 507 of the family's 1533-position model. The record is from RNAcentral.